AUUUUGGUGAUGCAGGUGUCCGAGCUGACUACCCAGGUAGAACAUCUGUCAUCACCCACUGCGCCAGUCCCACCGCCUGUCCCUCAUCAACUUCUUCCCGUGACCAGUCAUCACGAGCCUUGGAUACCGACACCUGAAAGAGGAAUCCAAGGUGGUGUUAGUCAUGACUUUACUGUCUGGACGUGCGGCUCUGUGGGGGACAGCGGUGCGGGAGAACCACCAUCCUUGCUGCUCCUCGUUCACUACACUCUCUCUGGAAAUGAAGCGGGAUAAGAUGCACCCAUGAGGAGCCAGUGAACCUGUCCAACGUGCCAGAGGACUACCUCGACCUGAAGGGAGUGUUCAGUAAGUCCCGGGCUGCUUCACUUCCUCUGCAUCGUCCCUAUGACUAUGCCAUAGACUUAUUGCCAGGUACCUCUCC
Molecule: long non-coding RNA, 421 nt
Organism: Cyprinus carpio (common carp)
Lineage: Eukaryota; Metazoa; Chordata; Actinopteri; Cypriniformes; Cyprinidae
Exons: 3
Source: RefSeq, a predicted model, not a curated record